CUGCUUUCCUAGUCUGAAUCCUUUUGAGAAGGGGAGGAUUAACUGAGGGGAAGAGGAAACCUUGAAUAAACUGCUUUGCAGCAGCCACCACGGCCCCUGGCUCUUUUUCUAAUUCCUUAUACUUGCCUUUAGGCUUGCUUGUUCCUUUAGGUCUUUACUGCAUCAUUCCAGAGAGACCUUCUGUGCCAUACGCUACAGUUCCACCCCCUCUUAUGCCGCUUAGCACUCACCAUUGCCCAACAUAGGAGCUGUUUUAUGUCUUCCUCUUGAUUCUCACUGUUUCCUGCUUUGGAGCAUAAGCUGGACAGAGGCAAAGUUUUCAGGUUGGCCAUCCUGGUGCACUGGGAGAGAAGUGAAGGAUGGGAGAUUUGUUAGACUCAUCUGGCAAAUUCCUUUUACGUUUUACAUUCUCCGCAACUACGAGUUUGUUCAGAGCAAGUAUUGAGCGUCAAUUCCACGCAAGGUAUUAUUUUGGACUCUUGGGGUUAUCCAGAAUACCAUCGGAGCUCCUCUGGAACAUGUCCUUGUCUUCUCAGAGUGUGAAGUGUGUGUGUGACAGUGCUUUUCUGAGGACUCAGGUGACCUGGAGGCUGGAGAACAGCAUGGAGCAAGGAAAACAAAGACGAUGUGCUGGAGUGUAUGUUGCUUUCAUAAUUAUGUGAAAGAAAAUGUAGAGAAAUUUGAAAGGAGAACUGGUUAUCAGUAGUGCCAUCCUGCUCAAAUAUCUUCAAAUACACACCACCAUCCAUGUGUGGGUUGAUUAAGGAGCUGACGUUCAUUAGAUCUGCAGUCUCCUGACCUGAUGUGCAUCAGAAUCACUGGGAGAACAAACAAACAAAAAUGAAUCCAAAACAAGCAACGAACAGACAGAUUCUCAAGUCUUGCCAAGUCCAAAGAUUGAUUUGGUGGAGAAAUUGUACUUUGAAAGCUGCCCAGGCCUUCAUGAAUGCCACAGUGGAUCUACUCUGCCCUCCUCUUGCCAUCAUCACCCUCCCCAGGAGCUGGAAAUCAUGAGCUUUAUUUCAAGAUCCAGCCAUGUGAUUAUAGAUGGCUGUGUGGUCUUGGAGCUUCAGUCUCAUCAUCUGCAAAGUGGGGACGAUGCUUUCCUAUACAUUUUACAGAACUGUCUGGUUCAAACAAAACAACGUGUGUAAAAGGUCUUAUUUAAUUACUUAUCAAAGGUUAGUGCACUAUAGAAAUGUGAGAGGCUUCAGUUAGACCCAGCAGUUUCUUAGAAGUUCAAAGAGUUACAUAAUUAAAAGUUGGUUAAUAAAUGAUUAAUUUGGCAAAAUAUUUGAGGUAGUGUUUUACUUUCCCAAAGUGAUCACAUUGAUUAUUUCUGUUUUCUCCUCAUAAUAACAGGAUUGGCCAUGCAGUAAGGUGGUACAGGCAUAAUAUUCAUUUUCUUUUUUUGUUUUUAACUAGCUAGUAAAAGGUAAGAAAACAUUUAUUGGAGCAUGUGCACCUGGUGUCAAUUUUUUCUCCCAACAUUAUAUUAUGAAGUUUUCAAAUAAGUAGAAAAGUUGAAUGAAAGACUCUCUACCAAGAUCACCUACAAACCCAACCCACCAUCUAAAUCCUACCGUUAGCAUUUUACUACUUGAUUUAUUGCCAAUCUGCCCAUAUAUCUAUCCUUCCAUCCAUUCAUUAAUCCUUCUUACUUUUGGGAUACAUUUCAAGGUUACUUGCAGGCAUCAGUAAACUUUCCCUUAACUGGUGAAACAGCAUGGAUAUCAUUAACUGGAAUUUGACAUCUUCUUAGAGUACUUUUUUUUCUUGUUUAUGUAAAUGGGGUCUAAUUUAAUGUUAUAAAAAUUAUGGCAGAGUUUGCUAUUUUGUGUGUGUGC
Molecule: long non-coding RNA, 1847 nt
Filed under: Homo sapiens (human)
Lineage: Eukaryota; Metazoa; Chordata; Mammalia; Primates; Hominidae
Description: HSALNT0372825
Source: RNAcentral